This is a non-coding RNA of Pantherophis guttatus, 1226 nucleotides long. The record is from RefSeq and is a predicted model, not a curated record. Lineage: Eukaryota; Metazoa; Chordata; Lepidosauria; Squamata; Colubridae.
GGUCUCGAUGCCGCCCCUCCGCGCCACCGCGAUGUAGCAGUUCUGAAAGCCCAGGUCGAUGCCCACCACAGACAUGACUGCGGCGGGCGCGGCUGAUUGCCAGACGAGGACACCGCGAAAUUCCGACUUGGGCUUCGGCAGUUUCCGCGCGUCCUCGGGUAGCCUCCAGGAGUUCGAGAAAGAUCUGGAAUCCGGGUGAGGAGACUGCGAAAGAGGCUUGUCUAGGACGCCCUCUAAGGGCCAGGGUCCGGAACGGCGUUGUCACAGAGGCCCAAAGCGGGAGAAGCACGGAAUACGAUUAGGGGCAGCUUGCAGUUAUAUAGCCAAAAAUUAUUACCAUUUUACUUCCUUUGUAUUUUACGUCUCCAAUUCCCGGAUUGAAUAGAACCCAGGAAAUAUGAAAUCAACACCGAAAGAAUAAAUAGACCAUGAAAGAAGAUGAAGAAGACACGUGUCAGAAUAAGAAAUAAAAAUAUAAAUAAUUGGGAUAUUUAUUUGUUUUUAUUUAAAGAUUUGAAUAGCUGCUCAUCUUAAAACCAAACUUUGGGUGGCUCACACUCAAAAGAAUAAAAAAAAUAUAACAAUAAAAACAGUACAAUGGGACAAUUGAUUAUCUUAUAUUAUAAAUGAUGAGCAUAUACAAGACAUGAGUACAGGAUAUUUACUCUGACAGAUAAUUAUGUACUAUCAAGUUGAUAUCAAUUCUUAGUGACUACUGUAGGAAGUUGGCACCCACCCCUUUCCUGGAAGAGUGAAAAAUUUUAGGAAAUAUGAAAAAGGCAGAAUAUUAUAUUUCCCUGGAUGAGAAAUGGAGAAGCAUAUUUUACAGACAAAGCCGCUCCCACCUUCCUGCCCCCCCCCCACCUUUGUCAAUGGGCCAUUAAGGCCUGGGCCAGUCUAUUCUACAUAACAAAGAUCUGACUCCUUCAGGCAGAGCCAUAGUAGGAAUUGCCAAAGAUCCAACAAAGAUAGGAUUAGCCCUCUACACAAUAGCAGCAGAAACUCACCACAUGUGACCUGGGAAGCACAUGUGACCAUCAGACAGCAAGGCUAGCUAAGACCCCAACCCCCUGGGAGUCUGACAACCAAUCAGGAUACUCUUGGGGCCCCAAGAAAUGCAGAGCCAGAGAGAGCAUAAAAACCCGAGGAUUUACUGUAUCUGCCCCUUUUCUGUUCAGGAACUCAAGCCAUGUGAUCCUGUCCACCAUUAAACCAUCUUUCCAAGC